RNAcentral lists this long non-coding RNA (483 nucleotides) under Malus domestica (apple). RNAcentral's name for it is "long non-coding RNA (MDOM_LNC019206)". Lineage: Eukaryota; Viridiplantae; Streptophyta; Magnoliopsida; Rosales; Rosaceae. The record is from RNAcentral.
CCUUUUUGUCCAACAAUCCACGUGUCGUCUUGUGAUUAUUUUUGUCUCCACAAAUGCCCCCACACCUGUUAGGCUGCUCGUAGAAAAGGGCAGCAGGUGUAGAGAUCUUCUUGCUUUAGGAAACUUAAGACUGCUUCCUAUUUUGAUGUAGAUUCUCUCUUUAAUAGGAAAUUAGAUCCUUCUAGGAAAGGGAAAAUAAAUUUCUCUCAAAGCCUAUUUAAGUCCACCUUAAGUGGGUUAUUAAAUCAACUUUGAAGAGCAAUUUAUUCUACCCUACAAGAGAGAUAGAGCAUAGAGGAUAUUUGUUCCCCCUGCUCUAUCAAUCUUCUACAUCUUGCCCAUGCAAAGGACCGUCUUUCGUUGCUUUCUUCGUCUGCUCCAUGCCGCACCGAUGUAAGAAAAAUUUAAUUUUUCUUGUCUUCUUCUUGGAUAGUGCUGUCACAGGUCAACCGUCGGGGUGGUGCAGCACGUCGGUUGGCAGGA